RNAcentral lists this ribosomal RNA (458 nucleotides) under uncultured bacterium. RNAcentral describes it as "partial 16S ribosomal RNA". It matches the Rfam family "Bacterial small subunit ribosomal RNA", at positions 338 to 795 of the family's 1533-position model. The record is from RNAcentral.
CCUACGGGUGGCAGCAGUGAGGAAUAUUGGUCAAUGGGCGAGAGCCUGAACCAGCCAAGUCGCGUGAGGGAGUACUGCCCUAUGGGUUGUAAACCUCUUUUGUCGGGGAGCAAAAGCCGGACGUGUCCGGCUGUGAGAGUAACCGAAGAAAAAGCAUCGGCUUGCUCCGUGCCAGCAGCCGCGGUAAUACGAGGGAUGCGAUCGUUAUCAUGAUUUAGUGGGUGUAAAGGGUGCGCAGGCGGAUUUUUAAGUCAGCGGUCAAAUCGUGGGGCUAAAACCCAUCCAGCCGUUGAAACUGGGGAUCUAGAGUGUGCGAGAGGUAUGCGGAAUGCGUGGUGUAGCGGUGAAAUGCAUAGAUAUCACGCAGAACCCCGAUUGCGAAGGCAGCAUACCGGUGCACAACUGACGCUCAGGCACGAAAGCGUGGGUAUCGAACAGGAUUAGAUACCCGUGUAGUC